RNAcentral lists this ribosomal RNA (253 nucleotides) under uncultured bacterium. RNAcentral's name for it is "partial 16S ribosomal RNA". It matches the Rfam family "Bacterial small subunit ribosomal RNA", at positions 524 to 776 of the family's 1533-position model. The record is from RNAcentral.
UACGUAGGGUGCAGGCGUUAAUCGGAAUUACUGGGCGUAAAGCGUGCGCAGGCGGUUUCUUAAGUCAGAUGUGAAAGCCCCGGGCUUAACCUGGGAACUGCGUUUGAAACUGGGAGACUUGAGUGUGGCAGAGGGGGGUGGAAUUCCACGUGUAGCAGUGGAAUGCGUAGAUAUGUGGAGGAACACCAAUGGCGAAGGCAGCCCCCUGGGUCAACACUGACGCUCAUGCACGAAAGCGUGGGGAGCAAACAGG